AUGAGUAAAAGAAACAAGACAUUGAAUUCAUUUUUUCAAGUUCGAACCACGGAAACUGCAGAAACAGGUCCUUCAACUCGAACAACUGAUAAUGCCCCUAGUGUUACGGCUCAACUUAAACCUGGUGAUAUUGAAUCAGACCCUGGUAAGAGAAUACCAAUUGAGGAUUUGGAUGCAGACAUUAGAGAUCUUGCUAGAAGGGAGUACAUUAGUAUGGGUCCAUGUCAACCAACUGAUCAUACAUAUGAGCAGAUAAAUGGUAGAAGCAUUCAUGAUUACUGGUAUAAUGAUCAUCGCGGCUGGUUGGAAUAUAGCAUUGAAAAAAAGCAGCCUUUUGCUUUUAUUGUUUUCUAUUUAAGCAACCAAGAGCUGCAAACUAUGGUGUUGAGGCGUUCACGAAAAAUGGAUUUAAAUCUUGGAAGGAUGGACCUAAAGUUUUUAAUCAACAUGUUGGCAAGCAUGAUAGUGCUCAUAAUAAAUCUAGACAACAUUAUGAUGAUUUCAAAAAUCAAAGACAAAAUUUGCCACAUGUGUUUGAUAGGGGUUCUAAGAAGAGAGAAGAAGAAUACAAAGCUCGUCUCUUCAUUAUAUUGGGUAUUGUCAAAUUUUUGA
RNAcentral lists this ribosomal RNA (612 nucleotides) under Triticum aestivum (bread wheat). Its description in RNAcentral is "partial small subunit ribosomal RNA". The record is from RNAcentral. Lineage: Eukaryota; Viridiplantae; Streptophyta; Magnoliopsida; Poales; Poaceae.